Molecule: transfer RNA, 77 nt
Filed under: Parahaliea aestuarii
Lineage: Bacteria; Pseudomonadati; Pseudomonadota; Gammaproteobacteria; Cellvibrionales; Halieaceae
Also listed under: 8 other names
Description: tRNA-Arg
Rfam family: tRNA
About the family: Transfer RNA (tRNA) molecules are approximately 80 nucleotides in length. Their secondary structure includes four short double-helical elements and three loops (D, anti-codon, and T loops). Further hydrogen bonds mediate the characteristic L-shaped molecular structure. tRNAs have two regions of fundamental functional importance: the anti-codon, which is responsible for specific mRNA codon recognition, and the 3' end, to which the tRNAs corresponding amino acid is attached (by aminoacyl-tRNA synthetases). tRNAs cope with the degeneracy of the genetic code in two manners: having more than one tRNA (with a specific anti-codon) for a particular amino acid; and 'wobble' base-pairing, i.e. permitting non-standard base-pairing at the 3rd anti-codon position.
Source: RNAcentral
GGGGGUAUAGCUCAGUUGGAUAGAGCAACGGCCUUCUAAGCCGUGGGUCGAGGGUUCGAAUCCUUCUACCCCCGCCA